ACGCAAAAGGUUGUUUGAAGUGGGCUUACACAUGUUUCCAUAGCAGCAGUCAUCUUAGUGAUUCCUCUCGUUUUCGGACUUUUUUUUUCUUUUGCUUCCCUAUUCCUCGCGGAUGCAGGAUUAAACAAACAGCAUAUUUAGGUCAAGGAAAGAGAUGUUUGCUAAUAUAGAUGCUAGGCUAAGCAUUCUGGGAGAGAGGUUUCUUGCAGCAGAUGAACAUUCUUUGUGCCUUCCAGCAGCGUCUGCAGCAGGGUGGCUGUCUGGCACCGUCUUUUUCAUUUUGGGCAGGUUCUGAGAUUCAGAACAAUCCCAAGCAAAUCCCAGGAGCCGGCAGUUUUCCAGUAACCACAUGUAAAUCUGCUUAUUUGUUUGUGGUACUAACAGUGAAGCAAUCUAUUGGAAAAACAAUACUUUAAAGGUUUUGGUGCAUCUGAAGGUGUGUCAUCUUGUUCUUGCACCACCCCUCCUGUUUUACACUUGGAGCUUGGAUUUUUUUGUCAGGCUGCUGGGCAGAAGCGGAAUCUAGUACAACAGCUCGGAGCUUCCCUUCUGUUCUGGUGUCGGCAACUGCCUGUCACGAAGAUGGUGCAGUGGGAGCCUGCUCUGAAGAGCCAAGGAAGAUGAUGUGGAAAUGGAGUAGAGAUUGCUAGAGACCUGAACAUCCACACCUUGGGGAUGGGUUGCACUACUAGUGUGAUUCUGUUUAAAGGCAUCCGCACCGUUUUUGAAAGAAACUGUGCUUAUAUGUGCAAACAGCAAGGAGAGAAUAAUGCCCUUGAAUACACAGCAUACAAUUGGACAAAAGAAGAUUCAGAACUAUUGAUCUCCUCCUGUCUGGCCAAACCAAAGCUGAUUGAGCCACUCGACUAUGAAAAUGUCAUCGUCCAGAAGAAGACACAGAUCCUGAACGACUGUUUAAGGGAGAUGCUGCUCUUCCCUUAUGAUGACUUUCAGACGGCCAUCCUGAGACGACAGGGGCGGUACGUAUGCUCCACCAUCCCUGCCAACGCACAGCAGGAAGCUCAGAGCUUAUUUGUUACAGAGUGCAUCAAAACCUAUAACUCUGACUGGCAUCUUGUGAACUACAAAUAUGAAGAUUACUCAGGAGAGUUUCGACAGCUUCCAAACAAAGUGGCCAAGUUGGAUAAACUUCCAGUUCAUGUCUAUGAAGUUGAUGAGGAGGUGGACAAAGAUGAGGAUGCUGCUUCCCUCGGCUCUCAGAAGGGUGGGAUCACCAAGCACGGUUGGCUGUACAAAGGCAACAUGAACAGUGCAAUAAGCGUGACCAUGAGGUCGUUUAAAAGACGAUUUUUCCACUUGAUUCAACUUGGUGAUGGGUCCUACAAUUUGAAUUUUUAUAAAGAUGAAAAGAUCUCCAAGGAACCAAAAGGAUCAAUAUUUCUGGAUUCCUGUAUGGGUGUGGUUCAGAACAACAAAGUCAGGCGUUUUGCUUUUGAGCUCAAGAUGCAGGACAAAAGUAGUUACCUUUUGGCAGCAGACACUGAAGCGGAAAUGGAAGAGUGGAUCACAACUCUGAACAAGAUUCUCCAGCUCAACUUUGAAGCUGCAAUGCAAGAAAAGCGAAACGGAGACUCUCAUGAAGAUGAUGAGCAAAGCAAAAUAGAAGGUUCCGUUUCCGGUUUAGAUAGCUACCUGCCUGAACUUGCCAAGAGUACCAGAGAAGCAGAAAUCAAACUGAAAAGUGAAAGCAGAGUUAAACUUUUUUACUUGGACCCAGAUGCUCAGAAGCUUGACUUCUCAUCAGCUGAGCCAGAAGUGAAGCCAUUUGAAGAAAAGUUUGGAAAAAGAAUUCUUGUCAAGUGCAAUGAUUUAUCUUUCAAUUUGCAAUGCUGUGUUGCUGAAAAUGAAGAAGGACCCACUACAAAUGUCGAGCCUUUCUUUGUUACUCUAUCCCUGUUUGACAUAAAAUACAACCGAAAGAUUUCUGCCGAUUUCCACGUGGACCUGAACCAUUUCUCAGUGAGGCAGAUGCUGGCCACCACAUCCCCGUCUCUGAUGAACGGCGGCAGGCAGAGCUCGCCUGCCCUGCAGGACAUCCUUCACGAAGCCGCCAUGCAGUAUCCGAAGCAGGGAAUAUUUUCAGUCACGUGCCCUCAUCCUGAUAUAUUUCUUGUGGCUAGAAUUGAAAAAGUGCUUCAGGGGAGCAUCACACAUGGUGCUGAGCCAUACAUGAAAAGUUCAGACUCUUCUAAGGUCGCUCAGAAGGUGCUGAAGAAUGCCAAGCAGGCAUGCCAAAGACUAGGGCAGUACAGAAUGCCAUUUGCUUGGGCAGCAAGGACGUUGUUUAAGGAUGCAUCUGGAAACCUUGACAAAAAUGCCAGAUUUUCUGCUCUCUACAAGCAAGACAGCAAUAAGCUAUCCAAUGAAGACAUGCUCAAGUUACUUGCAGACUUUCGGAAACCUGAGAAGAUGGCUAAACUCCCCGUGAUUUUGGGCAAUCUAGACAUUACAAUUGAUAGUGUUUCCUCAGACUUUCCUAAUUAUGUCAAUUCAUCAUACAUUCCUACGAAGCAAUUUGAAACCUGUACUAAAAUGCCAAUCACGUUUGAGGUAGAGGAAUUUGUGCCCUGCAUACCAAAACACACUCAGCCAUACACCAUCUACAACCACCACCUUUAUGUUUAUCCUAAGUCCUUGAAAUAUGACAGUCAAAAGUCUUUUGCCAAGGCCAGAAAUAUUGCUAUUUGCAUUGAAUUCAAAGAUUCAGAUGAGGAAGACUCUCAGCCUCUGAAGUGCAUUUAUGGCAGACCUGGUGGGCCAGUAUUCACAAGAAGCGCCUUUGCUGCAGUUCUACACCAUCACCAAAACCCAGAAUUUUAUGAUGAGAUUAAAAUAGAAUUGCCCACCCAGCUACAUGAAAAGCACCACUUGCUGUUCACAUUCUUCCAUGUCAGCUGUGAUAAUUCAAGCAAAGGAAGCACAAAGAAGAAGGAUGUUGUUGAAACACAAGUUGGAUAUUCCUGGCUUCCUCUCCUGAAAGAUGGAAGGGUGGUGACUAGCGAGCAGCACAUCCCUGUCUCAGCCAAUCUCCCAUCCGGCUACCUUGGCUACCAGGAGCUUGGGAUGGGCAGGCAUUAUGGUCCAGAAAUUAAAUGGGUAGAUGGAAGCAAGCCACUGCUGAAAGUUUCAACUCAUCUGGUUUCCACAGUGUAUACUCAGGAUCAGCACUUCCAUAAUUUUUUCCAGUACUGUCAGAAAACCGAAUCCGGAGCCCAAGCCUUAGGGAGCGAACUUGUAAAAUACCUGAAGAGCCUGCACGCGAUGGAAGGUCACGUGAUGAUCGCCUUCUUGCCCACCAUCCUAAACCAGCUAUUCCGUGUCCUCACCCGAGCAACCCAGGAGGAAGUCGCCGUCAACGUGACACGGGUCAUUAUUCAUGUCGUUGCCCAGUGCCAUGAGGAAGGAUUGGAGAGCCACUUGAGGUCAUAUGUUAAGUAUGCUUAUAAGGCUGAGCCGUAUAUUGCUUCCGAAUACAAGACGGUGCAUGAAGAGCUGACCAAAUCCAUGACCACAAUUCUCAAGCCUUCUGCCGAUUUCCUCACCAGCAACAAACUACUUAAGUAUUCAUGGUUUUUCUUUGAAGUUUUGAUCAAAUCCAUGGCUCAGCAUUUGAUAGAGAACUCCAAAGUUAAGUUAUUGCGAAACCAGAGAUUUCCUGCAUCCUAUCAUCAUGCAGUGGAAACUGUUGUGAAUAUGCUGAUGCCACACAUCACUCAGAAGUUUCGAGAUAACCCGGAGGCAUCUAAGAAUGCGAAUCAUAGCCUGGCUGUGUUCAUCAAGAGAUGUUUCACCUUCAUGGAUAGGGGCUUUGUCUUUAAGCAGAUCAACAACUACAUCAGCUGCUUUGCUCCUGGAGAUCCUAAGACCCUCUUUGAAUACAAAUUUGAAUUUCUCCGUGUGGUGUGCAAUCAUGAACAUUAUAUUCCAUUGAAUUUACCAAUGCCAUUUGGAAAAGGCAGGAUUCAAAGAUACCAAGAUCUCCACCUUGACUACGCAUUAACGGAUGAGUUCUGCAGAAACCACUUCUUGGUGGGACUGUUACUGAGGGAGGUGGGGACCGCCCUCCAGGAGUUCAGGGAGGUCCGGCUGAUUGCCAUUGGUGUGCUUAAGAACCUGCUGAUAAAGCAUUCUUUUGAUGACAGAUAUGCUUCCAGGAGCCAUCAGGCAAGGAUAGCCACUCUCUACCUGCCUCUGUUCGGUCUGCUGAUUGAGAAUGUCCAGCGGAUCAACGUGAGAGAUGUGUCUCCCUUCCCCGUGAACCCUGGCAGUACUGUGAAGGAGGAAUCCCUUACUUUGCCAGCCGUGAACCCGAUAGUGACACCGCAGAAGUCUGGGAGCACGCUGGAUGCCAGUCUGCACAAGGACCUCUUUGGUGCCAUCUCUGGCAUUGCUUCUCCGUAUACAAACUCAACUCCAAACAUCAGUAGUGUGAGAAAUGCUGAUUCAAGAGGAUCCCUCAUAAGCACAGAUUCCGGGAACAGCCUUCCAGAAAGGAAUAGUGAGAAGAGCAAUUCCCUGGAUAAGCACCAGCAAAGUGGCACUUUGGGAAAUUCUGUCGUUCGCUGUGACAAACUUGACCAGUCUGAGAUUAAGAGCCUGCUGAUGUGUUUCCUCUACAUCUUAAAAAGCAUGUCUGAUGAUGCUUUGUUUACAUAUUGGAACAAGGCCUCAACAUCUGAACUUAUGGAUUUUUUUACAAUAUUGGAAGUCUGCUUGCACCAGUUCCAGUACAUGGGGAAGCGAUAUAUCGCCAGGAACCAGGAGGGGUUGGGACCCAUAGUUCAUGAUCGAAAAUCUCAGACAUUGCCUGUUUCCCGUAACAGAACAGGAAUGAUGCAUGCCAGAUUGCAGCAGCUGGGCAGCCUGGAUAACUCUCUCACUUUUAACCACAGCUAUGGCCACUCGGACGCAGAUGUUCUCCACCAGUCGUUACUUGAAGCCAAUAUUGCUACUGAGGUGUGCCUGACAGCUCUGGACACCCUCUCUCUAUUUACACUGGCAUUUAAGAACCAGCUCCUGGCUGACCACGGACAUAAUCCCCUCAUGAAAAAGGUUUUUGACGUCUACCUGUGCUUUCUUCAAAAACAUCAGUCUGAAACGGCUUUAAAAAAUGUCUUCACUGCCUUAAGAUCAUUAAUCUAUAAGUUUCCCUCAACGUUCUAUGAGCGGAGAGCGGACAUGUGCGCAGCCCUGUGCUAUGAGGUCCUGAAAUGCUGCAACUCCAAGCUGAGCUCCAUCAGGACUGAGGCCUCCCAGCUGCUGUACUUCCUGAUGAGGAACAACUUCGACUACACUGGCAAGAAGUCCUUUGUCCGGACGCAUCUGCAGGUCAUUAUUUCCGUCAGCCAACUGAUAGCAGACGUUGUUGGCAUUGGGGGAACCAGAUUCCAGCAGUCCUUGUCUAUCAUCAACAACUGUGCCAACAGUGACAGGCUCAUCAAGCACACCACCUUCUCCUCGGACGUGAAGGACCUGACCAAAAGGAUCCGCACAGUUCUGAUGGCCACGGCCCAGAUGAAGGAGCAUGAGAAUGACCCCGAGAUGCUGGUGGACCUCCAGUACAGCCUGGCCAAGUCCUAUGCCAGCACCCCCGAGCUCCGGAAGACGUGGCUGGACAGCAUGGCCCGGAUCCAUGUCAAAAACGGGGACCUGUCCGAGGCAGCAAUGUGCUAUGUCCAUGUCACAGCCCUGGUGGCAGAAUAUCUCACACGGAAAGAAGCAGGCCUAGCCCUCCAGCUGGAGCCGUCCUUCCUCCCCUCCAGCCACAGCACCUGCCAGAGGAGGCGCCGGGGAGGCAUGUUUAGACAAGGAUGCACAGCUUUCAGGGUGAUUACCCCGAACAUAGAUGAGGAGGCCUCCAUGAUGGAAGACGUUGGCAUGCAGGACGUCCACUUCAACGAGGAUGUGCUCAUGGAGCUCCUGGAACAGUGUGCAGACGGACUCUGGAAGGCCGAGCGCUAUGAGCUGAUCGCCGACAUUUAUAAGCUCAUCAUCCCCAUCUACGAGAAGCGGAGGGAUUUUGAGAGGCUGGCCCAUCUGUAUGACACACUGCACCGAGCCUACAGCAAGGUGACCGAGGUCAUGCACUCAGGCCGAAGGCUUCUGGGGACAUACUUCCGAGUAGGCUUCUUCGGACAGGCAGCGCAAUACCAGUUUACAGACAGUGAAACAGAUGUGGAGGGAUUCUUUGAAGAUGAAGAUGGAAAGGAGUAUAUCUACAAGGAACCCAAACUCACGCCUCUGUCAGAAAUUUCUCAGAGACUCCUUAAACUUUACUCAGAUAAAUUUGGUUCUGAAAACGUCAAAAUGAUACAAGAUUCUGGCAAGGUCAACCCGAAGGAUCUGGAUUCCAAGUAUGCGUAUAUCCAGGUGACUCAUGUGAUCCCAUUCUUUGAUGAGAAGGAAUUGCAAGAAAGAAAAACGGAGUUUGAAAGAUCUCACAACAUUCGCCGCUUCAUGUUUGAGAUGCCCUUCACCCAGACUGGGAAAAGGCAGGGAGGCGUCGAAGAGCAGUGCAAACGGCGCACCAUACUGACAGCCAUACACUGCUUCCCUUACGUGAAGAAGCGGAUCCCCGUCAUGUACCAGCACCACACGGACCUGAACCCCAUCGAGGUGGCCAUUGACGAGAUGAGUAAGAAGGUGGCCGAGCUCCGGCAGCUGUGCUCCUCGGCCGAAGUGGACAUGAUCAAACUGCAGCUCAAACUCCAGGGCAGUGUGAGCGUCCAGGUCAAUGCCGGUCCACUAGCGUAUGCCCGAGCUUUCUUAGACGACACAAACACAAAGAGAUAUCCUGACAAUAAAGUGAAGUUGCUUAAAGAAGUUUUCAGGCAAUUUGUGGAAGCUUGCGGUCAAGCCUUAGCAGUAAAUGAACGGCUGAUCAAAGAGGACCAGCUAGAGUAUCAGGAGGAAAUGAAGGCCAACUACAGGGAAAUGACGAGAGAGCUUUCUGAAAUCAUGCACGAGCAGGAUUACAUAUGUGGGCUCAGUGGUCAUCAGGGGAGACAGCUGCCCAGGGAACUGAGUGAAUCUCAAAGGCGAUCAUCUCCUAUUGCUUCUGGAGGGGUCUGUUCUCCAUCAACCACAGCGACUUCUUCUGAGUCACGGACUCAGUCUUCAUGAUUAGUGUUGGCACCUUGAUAGCACACGACUGCUUCUGUCUGUUCCCUACGGUACUGUCUUUCAUUCUCGCAAAAUGGAAGCCAAGACCAUUUGUGUCAGUUAACGUACCAUGUGAUGAUUUAGUGAGAAGGAUUCUGUUGUAGGAAACUCACUUAAAUGUCUGAGCUUUAACUUGCUUUUUUCUCUCCUCCAUGCUCACACGUUCAGAUGGGAUGGUAAUGUCAUUUUUUAAUUUUAUUUCUCUGGAUCUUGAUAACUGGCUCACAUAAAGUUAUUACUGAGUUUGGGCAACUGCAGACAUUGACGUAAUGACCAUGCACGUGCAAAAAGAAGCCCUCUUCUGGGCAUUUAGAAAAGUAGGAAAACAAAACUGAAUAAACAUGUGAAUCAUUAAGCAGAAAGAGAAGGUCUCAUGGGAACAAGUUUUUGGAGAAAGCUCAAGGUCUUUUCCAUGGGGCCUCCAGACAGGAUGGAGAGCUUGGUCAGUGGGUGCCAGCACUUGGCACUAGAAAAGAUGAAAGUAGGAAGAAAACUGUGGGCUGAGAAUAUUAAAAUAAACUUCCAGAUUGUAUGGACACAAUGCCAUGCCGUGCUCUAAACUACACCUUGAACUUUCCAUUAUCUCAACAACUAUGAAGAUUAAACUUUGAACCCUUGAGCAAAAAGAGUCAUGACCUGGAGUAGACUUGCUUUUGGAUUUUCCAGGGGAGCCUCUGAGUGUGUAUGUUCUUCUCAGUUUCCACCUGGCAAUAGCCCAAGUCUUGCACUUAGAAUUCUUCCCUGCAUUACUGAGCGUGAAAGAGACUUGAUCAGGGCCAGCGAGGCAGCCACACUCUUGCUCCCAGGGUAGAAAUCUGUAAGACCCUAAGAGAAGGAGCUGGUAGAGAACACCGACGCUCCAGAUUCAAUUAAAAAAGACUUUUCCAGGGGACAAGGCCAGGUCAUGUCCCCAUCAAGUAUGUGUAGGAUAGGCCUCAAGGUGCCUUAUAACCUGGUGAGGUUAGAAGACUCUCUACUCACUAACCUGGAAAGGAAACAAAACAUGUUGUUCUUGACUUUCUCCUUAAAAUCCUGAUCUGAAAAACGUCAUUUAUGAGGUGAGCUAACACGCUCCCUCUGCAAACCACCAAAGCCAAGCUCUCUGAGGGCACCACCACUCACAGUAACAGUGGCCACUGGAUGAUAAAUGUGAGAAGUGUCAUUUGGAGCAGUUUACGCUUGGGUAACCUUGUGUUUCUGUACCUCGAGAUUUGCCCCCUGGAGGAGAAGACCAGCGUUUUGCCGAAUUCCCUUCACAUCUUCAACGCCAUCAGUGGGACCCCAACAAGCACGCUGGUUCACGGCAUGACCAGCUCGUCCUCCGUGGUGUGACGUCAUCUCGUGGACCGCGUGUGGGGACUUGCUUUGUCAUUUGCAAACUCAGGAUGAUCUCCAAAGCUACUCACUGGGCACAUGCCAAGGCCCGGGGAAGCGGAGCCCAAGGAGCAGUCGAGGGGAACGCGCGAGAAGGGAAAGAAAGAGCCGCGUUAUUUCAUAGCAGAUGUUCUGCAGGGUCGUAGGAGAGCACACAUAUUUUUUUAAACCUUGCUGGCAAUAGUCAACAUUUUCAUUAUGUCUUAACAGAGGUCUCCAUCUUUAUCAUCUCCCUGCUUGCUUUGAAGGUGAGUACUCUGGGAUAAGAUGGUCAUUUAUCCCAGCAAUGCAUCAGCGGCCAGGUGUGCCCACACUGCCUGUGGCCUACAUCAUCAUAAACACUGAAGCCGAGUCAAGUGAUGCCUCAGACUGCAGGUGCUGGUCCUGCCUGUGGUGUGCCCAGGGACCCAGCGGAGGAGCCACUCAGCCCCAGAGUUCCAGUGAUGGAAGAAAGAGGAGUCUUUCACAAGAAAUAAAAUAGCUGGUUUUCCUACUUGAAGAGUUUUGGAGGCUGUCUUUUUUCAUAACCAGUUGAGGAAGGAAAUCAUGAUGCUGUGUACAUCCUGAGCACCCAGAUACCAAGGAUCUUAUGGUGUCUUUGGAACUUCUCUAUCAGUGGGCAAGGCUGUAUUUUACAGAUGGCGACAAGGUCAUGAAGAAGAGAUGGUGAGGAGUUACGACAACUCACCAGGCUGCAGCCCAUUCAUUAGUGGAUCCAGACUUAGGGCUUGAGAAGAUUCUCUGCAUUUGCCCUGAGUCUCUGACAUGUCGGCCCCGUGUAAUAAACCUUGACUCUCCCUAACACCAGCAGGGAUAGGUAUAAGAGUUUGUCUCCCUUGUCACCGAGCUGGAUUUCCUGGUCACAAAUGCCUCAUUUAGAAGCCAUAAAAUGCAGGUCAUCGUGCAGUAAGAUAAAUGUAUCUAGAAAGAGCUAACUUGCUACCUUGUGGUUAAACUUGGGAAGUAAUUUGUACAGAUUUCAUGUCAGAUAAGAUUCAGCUUGGAAGGUGGCCAACCAUCACUAAUUACAACAGUGGAGAAAGGAACCAUCUCUAAGAUGAAGACAUCUAUUGACCCUGCACUGAAACACAUUCAUAUCAAUUAAAAACCUCAUUUAGUUUAUGCAUAAAAUUUUAAUUUUGGUAUAAAUUACACAUUAAAGUAGCAGUUUAUUGGGGAAAAUUGUGUUUUUUAACAUUAAGAAAUCUUUAUUGCUAAUUUUCAAUAAAUUUUUAAAUGUUUUCCA
This is a non-coding RNA of Delphinapterus leucas (beluga whale), 9802 nucleotides long. Lineage: Eukaryota; Metazoa; Chordata; Mammalia; Artiodactyla; Monodontidae. The record is from RefSeq and is a predicted model, not a curated record.